ACGGUCCUAAGGUAGCGAAAUUCCUUGUCGGGUAAGUUCCGACCUGCACGAAUGGCAUAACGAUGGCCACACUGUCUCCUCCCGAGACUCAGUGAAGUUGAAAUGUUUGUGAUGAUGCAAUCUACCCGCGGCUAGACGGAAAGACCCCAUGAACCUUUACUGCAGCUUUGCAUUGAACUGUGAACCGAUUUGUGUAGGAUAGGUGGGAGGCAGAGAAGAGUCCACGCCAGUGGUCUUGGAGCCGACCUUGAAAUACCACCCUGAUUUGUUUGCGGUUCUAACCACGGACAGUGAUCCUGUCUUGGGACCGUGCAUGGUAGGCAGUUUGACUGGGGCGGUCUCCUCCUAAAGGGUAACGGAGGAGUACGAAGGUACGCUAGGUACGGUCGGAAAUCGUGCUGAUAGUGCAAUGGCAAAAGCGUGCUUGACUGCGAGAGCAACAACUCGAGCAGAUGCGAAAGCAGGUCAUAGUGAUCCGGUGGCUCUGAAUGGAAGGGCCAUCGCUCAACGGAUAAAAGGUACUCUGGGGAUAACAGGCUGAUACCGCCCAAGAGUUCAUAUCGACGGCGGUGUUUGGCACCUCGAUGUCGGCUCAUCUCAUCCUGGGGCUGUAGUCGGUCCCAAGGGUAUGGCUGUUCGCCAUUUAAAGAGGUACGUGAGCUGGGUUUAAAACGUCGUGAGACAGUUUGGUCCCUAUCUGCCGUGGGCGUUGGAAGAUUGACGGGGGCUGCUCCUAGUACGAGAGGACCGGAGUGGACGCACCUCUGGUGUACCGGUUGUCACGCCAGUGGCAUUGCCGGGUAGCUAAGUGCGGAAGAGAUAACCGCUGAAAGCAUCUAAGCGGGAAACUUGCCUGAAGAUGAGUCUUCCCGGAGGUAAAACCUCCCUCAAGAGUCGUCCGAGACCAGGACGUCGAUAGGUCAGGUGUGUAAGCGCUGUGAGGCGUUGAGCUAACUGAUACUAAUUGCUCGUGAGGCUUGAUCCU
Molecule: ribosomal RNA, 985 nt
Filed under: human gut metagenome
Description: bacterial LSU rRNA
Rfam family: Bacterial large subunit ribosomal RNA
Source: RNAcentral